RNAcentral lists this unclassified non-coding RNA (224 nucleotides) under Basidiomycota sp. RNAcentral describes it as "partial contains small subunit ribosomal RNA, internal transcribed spacer 1, and 5.8S ribosomal RNA". The stretch from base 1 to 47 matches the Rfam family "Eukaryotic small subunit ribosomal RNA", at positions 1785 to 1831 of the family's 1831-position model. The record is from RNAcentral. Lineage: Eukaryota; Fungi; Basidiomycota.
AAAGUCGUAACAAGGUUUCCGUAGGUGAACCUGCGGAAGGAUCAUUAAAGAUUCUUGACCUCCGGGUCGAACUUUUCAGCUGUGCGCUGAUAAAACUCACACACCUGUGCACAUUUCGGUCGCAUCCUGCAUGCAGGUUUGCCUCCGCUUUAACAUACAACCACACGUCUUGAAUGUAACAAACUAUAAAGUAACAACUUUCAACAACGGAUCUCUUGGCUCUC